This 427-nucleotide ribosomal RNA is filed under the name uncultured bacterium. Its description in RNAcentral is "partial 16S ribosomal RNA". It matches the Rfam family "Bacterial small subunit ribosomal RNA", at positions 355 to 774 of the family's 1533-position model. The record is from RNAcentral.
UGGGGAAUAUUGCACAAUGGGCGCAAGCCUGAUGCAGCCAUGCCGCGUGUAUGAAGAAGGCCUUCGGGUUGUAAAGUACUUUCAGAGGGGAGGAAGGCGAUGUGGUUAAUAACCGCGUCGAUUGACGUUACCCGCAGAAGAAGCACCGGCUAACUCCGUGCCAGCAGCCGCGGUAAUACGGAGGGUGCAAGCGUUAAUCGGCAUUACUGGGCGUAAAGCGCACGCAGGCGGUCUGUCAAGUCGGAUGUGAAAUCCCCGGGCUCAACCUGGGAACUGCAUCCGAAACUGGCAGGCUUGAGUCUCGUAGAGGGGGGUAGAAUUCCAGGUGUAGCGGUGAAAUGCGUAGAGAUCUGGAGGAAUACCGGUGGCGAAGGCGGCCCCCUGGACGAAGACUGACGCUCAGGUGCGAAAGCGUGGGGAGCAAACA